UCCUUUCCCAUUCGGUACGGUAACCCCUCUCUUCUUCUUCUCCUUCCAUAAUUUUGUUCAUAACUCUUCUCGAUCGAUCUUCAUCACUGUGUCAAUUUUCUACUGCUGUAUGUUAAUUACUCACUAAGGCUUUCCAAAUUUUCAACCCCGCCCACCAAGUGUUUGAUAAUAUUCCUUGCUGACCGACCUCGCCUGGUUUUUUUUUCGUCUUUUUCAUUCAGGAGGAUAUGAGAGGGAGGCCGCUUCAUCAUCAUACUUGUACUGGUUUCAUCCAAGAUUUCAACACCUGCGACGACUGCUUCUAGCUUAGCUUCACCGGCCAGCAUAUCUACAUACAUAGAUCCGAUAUGGAGAUGAAGAGCUCGAUGAGCAGCAGUACUACUAGCAGCAAGAGCAAUAUCGG
RNAcentral lists this long non-coding RNA (403 nucleotides) under Linum usitatissimum (flax). RNAcentral's name for it is "long non-coding RNA (LUSI_LNC001536)". Lineage: Eukaryota; Viridiplantae; Streptophyta; Magnoliopsida; Malpighiales; Linaceae. The record is from RNAcentral.